GGCCUUAGCGCGCGCUGUAGAAGGCAAGACGCACGCUACAGCAACUUCGGCCGUCCCGGCGCCGCGGCUUUGGAGCCAAGUGGAAAUCGUAGAAGUGCACACAAAGAAGAACGGUUGGUCGCCUUGUAAGUGUAGAUCGCGGCGCGGCGGCGGCAGCGGGGGUGGCAGCGCCAUUGGGGAAGUCGAGGUGGUUUACGUUGUGGCUUCCUCAACUAUGUUUGUCUUCUCCGCCCGUCACCGCAGGAACUCUGGACGUUCUCUCUUUGGUGUGCUCGCAUGCCACGGACUGUGUGCGACGCAUUUGCAGCCAUGUCUCAUUGUAAAACAGGUUGAUUUAAUUUGAAGACACACCGCUUUCUCCCUGCAUAAUCGCAGCAGGUGAUGACAUCUGGAUGCCUGAAAAGUACCUAUUACUUGUUGAUCGCCAUGCUGUGGCAGCAGCAAAGACGUUCAAGCAAGCAUUCUGCAUGCUGGUUGCAGCUUACUUCUGCUUCCACAUUUGUUAUGCAGAGAAGGCGUCGUACACAC
Molecule: long non-coding RNA, 528 nt
Filed under: Dermacentor andersoni
Lineage: Eukaryota; Metazoa; Arthropoda; Arachnida; Ixodida; Ixodidae
Description: uncharacterized LOC126542901
Source: RNAcentral